AAGCUCACCCGCCAUUUUGUAGGUCUGAGGGUGCUUGGACAUACUCUUCGAGCUAGUACUAAUGAAUUUUUGCUGCUGAUAAUUUUCCUGGCUCUAGGAGUUUUGAUAUUUGCUACCAUGAUCUACUAUGCCGAGAGAGUGGGAGCUCAACCUAACGAUCCUUCAGCUAGUGAGCACACACAGUUCAAAAACAUUCCCAUUGGGUUCUGGUGGGCUGUAGUGACCAUGACUACCCUGGGUUAUGGGGAUAUGUACCCCCAAACAUGGUCAGGCAUGCUGGUGGGAGCCCUGUGUGCUCUGGCUGGAGUGCUGACAAUAGCUAUGCCAGUGCCUGUCAUUGUCAACAAUUUUGGAAUGUACUACUCCUUGGCAAUGGCAAAGCAGAAACUUCCAAGGAAAAGAAAGAAGCACAUCCCUCCUGCUCCUCAGGCAAGCUCACCUACUUUUUGCAAGACAGAAUUAAAUAUGGCCUGCAAUAGUACACAGAGUGACACAUGUCUGGGCAAAGACAAUCGACUUCUGGAACAUAACAGAUCAGGCUCCCCAUCAGACGCUCUAGUACCAGAGACAAA
RNAcentral lists this small RNA (572 nucleotides) under Pongo abelii (Sumatran orangutan). RNAcentral's name for it is "processed transcript". The stretch from base 235 to 348 matches the Rfam family "Potassium channel RNA editing signal". The record is from RNAcentral. Lineage: Eukaryota; Metazoa; Chordata; Mammalia; Primates; Hominidae.